UACGGAGGGAGCUAGCGUUGUUCGGAAUUACUGGGCGUAAAGCGCACGUAGGCGGCUAUUCAAGUCAGGGGUGAAAGCCCGGGGCUCAACCCCGGAACUGCCUUUGAAACUAGAUAGCUAGAAUCUUGGAGAGGUCAGUGGAAUUCCGAGUGUAGAGGUGAAAUUCGUAGAUAUUCGGAAGAACACCAGUGGCGAAGGCGACUGACUGGACAAGUAUUGACGCUGAGGUGCGAAAGCGUGGGGAGCAAACAGGAUUAGAUACCCCCGUAGUCC
This 273-nucleotide ribosomal RNA is filed under the name uncultured bacterium. Its description in RNAcentral is "partial 16S ribosomal RNA". It matches the Rfam family "Bacterial small subunit ribosomal RNA", at positions 524 to 796 of the family's 1533-position model. The record is from RNAcentral.